Molecule: ribosomal RNA, 524 nt
Filed under: uncultured bacterium
Lineage: Bacteria
Description: partial 16S ribosomal RNA
Rfam family: Bacterial small subunit ribosomal RNA
Source: RNAcentral
GACGAACGCUGGCGGCGUGCCUAAUACAUGCAAGUCGAGCGCAGGAAACUGACGGAACUCUUCGGAGGGAAGGCAGUGGAAUGAGCGGCGGACGGGUGAGUAACACGUAAGGAACCUGCCUCAAGGAUUGGGAUAACUCCGAGAAAUCGGAGCUAAUACCGGAUAGUUCAUCGGACCGCAUGGUACGUUGAUGAAAGGCGCGCCGGCGUCACCUUGGGCUGGCCUUGCGGUGCAUUAGCUAGUUGGUGGGGUAACGGCCCACCAAGGCGACGAUGCAUAGCCGACCUAAGAGGGUGAUCGGCCACACUGGGACUGAGACACGGCCCAGACUCCUACGGGAGGCAGCAGUAGGGAAUCUUCCACAAUGGACGAAAGUCUGAUGGAGCAACGCCGCGUGAGUGAUGAAGGUUUUCGGAUCGUAAAACUCUGUUGUAAGGGAAGAACACGUACGAGAGGGAAUGCUCGUACCUUGACGGUACCUUACGAGAAAGCCACGGCUAACUACGUGCCAGCAGCCGCCGUAA